GACCUUGCGUCUUGCCUUUCAUGAUUCUAGGUCAAAGGGAUGUACCCUAAAGGUUUUGAUUUAUUUCAAUCAAUCAAUCCAUCAGCCUGUAUGCGUCCACUGCUGGACAUAGGCAUUUGAUUUUUUUGCGAGUGUCAAAAUAUGCGGCAUAAAUGGCUAUGUUUUUUUGAUUGCAAUGACAUAGAAGCUUGAUUUUUAUACAACUCACGAAGUGAAUUAAUAAGGGUUUCUUUUUUACCUUUUGAGGUACGGAAAUGGUGUGAACAGUUUAAUAGGAUAAAGCAUGGAUACAUCAUCCUGAACAUUGUGUUUUUCAGGGUACUAGAAAAUACUUCCAAUUAGAGAAUGAUUUGAUUACGCAGUUAGUUUUGUACUCAGUCUAGCGAGUAUGUACUUGCUGUUUUCUUCCCAAUGUGUGAAAAACAGAGCUCCUACACUGCGGAUUCUUUAUUAUUCGGAAUUCUUUUGUAAAUAUGGUUUCUGGUUAUGUCUCGUACAUGCAAUAAAACUAUUCAUAGUUCAGCCAUUCGUUGCCAAUGGCGGGCAUUGGAUACCGGUUUCUAUCUUAGGCCUCGGAACGCAAUCCGCGCAACACAGCAAACUUCCUUUAUCUCCCAUUAAGUUACUUCUAAUAUCUGUUUUCCGACAAUACGAGGAACGUGGUUAGUCAAUUUACUGGGAGCUCCUUGAUACUAAACGUUCAUGUAACUAUAUAUUUUUUAUGUUAAUGCUGAUUUAAUUAAUCGCUUGGAGUUGUAUUAUGUAAUAUUAUAUUGUAAGGGCUUCUUUAUGUGCGGCAGUGGGUAUAAUGUUAUAGACUGUAUAAAUUCAUAUGUGCAUAAGGGUUAUAGAAGAUAAAAGAUUGUAAUCUAUUAAUUGAUAUAUCAAGUUCGGGUUCCAGUACACUACUCCCACUGUGUCCUUUGUAAAAGUAUGUAUGUUAUUAAGGUAUAAUAUGUUAAGGAUGUUGUUUUGUGGUGCGCUGAUGGAAGCGAGUUGUUAUGUUCAGACUUUUAGGAGUAGUGCUGCUGAGCUUAUUGAUUCAAUUCAAUUAUGCAAAUUUUCACUCAAACAGUUAUUUUUUUUCAUGUUAAUAAAAGAAAAUAUACGCAUUAAUAUUAA
Long non-coding RNA from Maniola jurtina (meadow brown), 1122 nucleotides. RefSeq lists it as uncharacterized. The transcript has 2 exons. The record is from RefSeq and is a predicted model, not a curated record. NCBI's taxonomy places the organism in Eukaryota, Metazoa, Arthropoda, Insecta, Lepidoptera, Nymphalidae.